Molecule: ribosomal RNA, 364 nt
Filed under: Escherichia coli
Lineage: Bacteria; Pseudomonadati; Pseudomonadota; Gammaproteobacteria; Enterobacterales; Enterobacteriaceae
Description: partial 23S ribosomal RNA
Rfam family: Bacterial large subunit ribosomal RNA
Source: RNAcentral
AAUCCUGGUCGGACAUCAGGAGGUUAGUGCAAUGGCAUAAGCCAGCUUGACUGCGAGCGUGACGGCGCGAGCAGGUGCGAAAGCAGGUCAUAGUGAUCCGGUGGUUCUGAAUGGAAGGGCCAUCGCUCAACGGAUAAAAGGUACUCCGGGGAUAACAGGCUGAUACCGCCCAAGAGUUCAUAUCGACGGCGGUGUUUGGCACCUCGAUGUCGGCUCAUCACAUCCUGGGGCUGAAGUAGGUCCCAAGGGUAUGGCUGUUCGCCAUUUAAAGUGGUACGCGAGCUGGGUUUAGAACGUCGUGAGACAGUUCGGUCCCUAUCUGCCGUGGGCGCUGGAGAACUGAGGGGGGCUGCUCCUAGUACGA